ACGUAUAUAUAUAUAUAUAUAUUUAUUCAUUUUAUUUUAAAGAUAGUAGCUAAAGUAAAUUCAGUAGAACUUUGAUCUAGAACGUUUAUUUUCUGCCUCAUCGAUACUUUUUGUGUACAAUUGUUAAGUGUGACUUUUGUAAAGCUGCAUCAUUGAAGGAUCGAAUGUUCAGAUGUUUCAUUAAACAAAAGAUAAUCAUUGACAGAAUAAUUCACAUUUCGGAAUGAAAUUCUAAGACUACGUUCGGGAAGCGAAAUUAUCAGUGCUAUUAUCAUUUGUUUUCUAGAGCGACAGAAUUAGUAAAUCAUAAAAUGAUGACUGUGAAGGAAAGCAUACAUGUGAUCUACGAUUUUUUGCUGUUUAUCGGCAUGGCAAUAGUUUAUUUCACCGAAACUGUAGUAUUAACGCUAGUUCCUCGUCGAUAUCGAGCAAAAUCGAUUAAAGGUGAAAUUGCUCUUGUUACGGGUGGUGCUAGCGGAAUCGGCAGACUAAUCGCAAUCAAAUUCGCCCAACUUGGUGCACACGUAGUUGUUUGGGACAUCAAUAAA
Long non-coding RNA from Wasmannia auropunctata (little fire ant), 548 nucleotides. RefSeq lists it as uncharacterized. The transcript is spliced from 3 exons. NCBI's taxonomy places the organism in Eukaryota, Metazoa, Arthropoda, Insecta, Hymenoptera, Formicidae. The record is from RefSeq and is a predicted model, not a curated record.